This 107-nucleotide small nuclear RNA is filed under the name Dasypus novemcinctus (nine-banded armadillo). The record is from RNAcentral. Lineage: Eukaryota; Metazoa; Chordata; Mammalia; Cingulata; Dasypodidae.
GUGCUCGCUUCUGCAGCACAGAUAAUAAAAUUCGAACAAUACAGAGAAGAUUAGCAUGGUCCCUGCACAAGGAUGACACACAAAUUUGUGAAGUGUUUCGUAUUUUU